UCUAAAAUGGCAGAUUAGUGCAAUGAAUUUAAGCUUCGUAAAUGAAUAACUUAUUCUUUUAGAA
RNAcentral lists this transfer RNA (64 nucleotides) under Cryptopygus antarcticus. RNAcentral describes it as "tRNA-Leu". The record is from RNAcentral. Lineage: Eukaryota; Metazoa; Arthropoda; Collembola; Entomobryomorpha; Isotomidae.